UAAGGUGAAGAGGCCUUUAUGUAAAAGAAGGACGACAAGACCCUAUGAAGCUUUAUCUUAAUUGGAGCUCUCAGGCUCUUAUACGAUUUUGAUGGGAGAUCAGUAGAAAGAAGUCUUCUACUAUCAUAUUAAUCUUACUAGUAUUUCCUAACUUUAUAUGUGUGGCUAGCUACUCUAGGGAUAACAGCGCAAUUUCUCCCGAAAGAUGGUAUUGGAGGGGAAGAUUGCGACCUCGAUGUUGGCUUUAGAUAUCCUAGAGGCGUAGAAGCUUCUGAUGGUGGGUCUGUUCGCCCUUUAAAAUCUAACAUGAGCUGAGUUCAGAACGGCGUGAGCUAGUUCAGUUUCUAUCCUCUUUUUG
Molecule: ribosomal RNA, 358 nt
Filed under: Mytilus galloprovincialis (Mediterranean mussel)
Lineage: Eukaryota; Metazoa; Mollusca; Bivalvia; Mytilida; Mytilidae
Description: Bacterial large subunit ribosomal RNA
Rfam family: Bacterial large subunit ribosomal RNA
Source: Rfam by way of RNAcentral